RNAcentral lists this ribosomal RNA (467 nucleotides) under uncultured bacterium. Its description in RNAcentral is "bacterial SSU rRNA". It matches the Rfam family "Bacterial small subunit ribosomal RNA", at positions 337 to 796 of the family's 1533-position model. The record is from RNAcentral.
UCCUACGGGAGGCAGCAGUGGGGAAUAUUGCGCAAUGGGGGGAACCCUGACGCAGCCAUGCCGCGUGAAUGAAGAAGGCCUUCGGGUUGUAAAGUUCUUUCGGUAAUGAGGAAGGGAUGUUGUUAAAUAGAUAGCAUCAUUGACGUUAAUUACAGAAGAAGCACCGGCUAGCUCCGUGCCAGCAGCCGCGGUAAUACGGAGGGUGCGAGCGUUAAUCGGAAUAACUGGGCGUAAAGGGCACGCAGGCGGACUUUUAAGUGAGAUGUGAAAUCCCCGAGCUUAACUUGGGAACUGCAUUUCAGACUGGGAGUCUAGAGUACUUUAGGGAGGGGUAGAAUUCCACGUGUAGCGGUGAAAUGCGUAGAGAUGUGGAGGAAUACCGAAGGCGAAGGCAGCCCCUUGGGAAUGUACUGACGCUCAUGUGCGAAAGCGUGGGGAGCAAACAGGAUUAGAUACCCUGGUAGUCC